This is a long non-coding RNA of Pogoniulus pusillus (Red-fronted tinkerbird), 981 nucleotides long. RefSeq lists it as uncharacterized. The transcript is spliced from 2 exons. NCBI's taxonomy places the organism in Eukaryota, Metazoa, Chordata, Aves, Piciformes, Lybiidae. The record is from RefSeq and is a predicted model, not a curated record.
CACUGGAGUGAACAGUCAGAGUUACAGGCAAUAGUCUCCUCUACCACCAAAGCUGCUGCUCCAGCUGAGCAACAACAGCCCUGGGUCCUGUAGCAAAGUCUGCUGUGACUGUGUGCUUCCACGGGCUCUGCCAGAUCCUGAAUCCAGGACGUCUCCCCACUAGUGAAAGCCAGAGACAGGCUGCUUGGGAGCUGUGUGGGAUGGUGUCUAUCAGCACCACAUCUCCCCAUAAUCACAAACGCCCCACACCUUUCCCAGAGCACGGCACGGAGGUGUGUGAGCAGAGCCACGCAGCGCCUGUGCAGAGCAGCAGUGCGUGGCUGUGCUGACAGGGAAGGGCUGCCUCGUGUCACACCUUCCGAUUCCGCAGCCUGGCAAUCGGAGUUCCUUCGCUUGCUCCAGCUCCGCUGGCUAAGUGCAACAUCCACAGGCAGACCCAGGGGCGAGAGGACAGGAAUGGAAAAGACCCUUCUCAGGCUUUUUCCCUAAGCAUGCUGCUGCUCUAAACUCCCUUGGAAGCCCAGGAGAGAUCUGCCUAGCCAACAACAAACCACAAAUCUCCACUCUGCAGGUGCAUGAAAUGGAACUGAACAUUUUCAUCUCUGUGAAAAUUCUUACAUGAAUUCAGAAAGGGCACUGCAUGUAACCAAAACCUCUGGAUUCUGGCUCCUUUUAUUUGCUCUCAUCUGCAGCAUUCACCUGAUUUGCCUCGAACAGCAGCAGAGCCCCGGGGAGCCCUGGCAGGCUCAGCCCUCUCUGCAGUGUGCAGCGUUGUUAUGUGUGCACAGUGCUCGUGCACCGUGCCCAUAACCUGCAUCUCCAAGGUGCAGGGAGAACACUUGCUCCUGUCUCCUCUGGGGCUUUGCUUUAAAGCCUGGCUAUGGUUUAAGCUCACACUGCCCAUGAAAAUGAAGGAGCUUUGCACUGCAGCUCAUAUGCAGGUUCAUUUCAUAGCGUUUUGCCUGAAUGUGGACUGCUGGC